UAUGCGCUACGAUACGAUCGCUCGAAAUUUGGUUUUAAAUUAUGUUGUUAAGUAUUAUGUUACUAAAAAAUAUGCGUGUUAGUGUAUAGCAUUAGUGUUAUCUGCAUAUAUACUCAAGUUGACAGCGGACUAUUUUAGCAAAAAAAGAAAAAAAGUUGACAGCGGACUAAUUUAUAAGGAUAUAAAUUAAAAUAUAUACAGACAUAAAUAUAUAAAAUAAUAAUACUUAGUUAUGAAUAUUAUAAUAUAAUAUAACAUAAUAUUUUAUAUCUAUAUUUUUUGAAACUUUUAAAGAAAGUGUUCUAACACGUUUCCUUCAUGUAUCAGUGACAUCAUCAAUUAAGAAGUUUUAUAUUAUUGUUUGCUUCUUGCUUCGUCAAAAUUAUAAAUUUGUUUUGAAGUCCUAAUAAGUUCAUGUUAGAAACGUGAGGGCUUCAGUUAGUGUCAACUGUAAAAAUUGAUCCUAAAAUAAAAGCUGAUUGUUAGCAACUUAAUAAGUCCUACCUACUGUCAAUCGAUAAUACACCAUCGUAAUCACAAAGUCUUUAAUUAAGUUUUGUAGACCUAAAAGGAAACAAAAAAAAAAUUCCAUAUCCAAGAGAGAAACCAAAUAGAACACUCAUGUUAAG
RNAcentral lists this long non-coding RNA (629 nucleotides) under Brassica rapa (field mustard). Its description in RNAcentral is "long non-coding RNA (BRAP_LNC005261)". Lineage: Eukaryota; Viridiplantae; Streptophyta; Magnoliopsida; Brassicales; Brassicaceae. The record is from RNAcentral.